Molecule: ribosomal RNA, 379 nt
Filed under: Wolbachia endosymbiont of Megisto cymela
Lineage: Bacteria; Pseudomonadati; Pseudomonadota; Alphaproteobacteria; Rickettsiales; Anaplasmataceae
Description: bacterial SSU rRNA
Rfam family: Bacterial small subunit ribosomal RNA
Source: RNAcentral
CGGUUCGNCCGGGUUUCACACAGGUGUUGCAUGGCUGUCGUCANGNCUCGNUGUCGUGAGAUGUUGGGUUAAGUCCCGCAACGAGCGCAACCCUCAUCCUUAGUUACCAUCAGGUAAUGCUGGGGACUUUAAGGAAACUGCCAGUGAUAAACUGGAGGAAGGUGGGGAUGAUGUCAAGUCAUCAUGGCCCUUAUGGAGUGGGCUACACACGUGCUACAAUGGUGGCUACAAUGGGCUGCAAAGUCGCGAGGCUAAGCUAAUCCCUUAAAAGCCAUCUCAGUUCGGAUUGUACUCUGCAACUCGAGUGCAUGAAGUUGGAAUCGCUAGUAAUCGUGGAUCAGCACGCCACGGUGAAUACUUUCUCGGGUCUUGUACACAC